GUACGAUGUUUAACCUAUACCAUGGCUGUUUCAGGCAGUUUGACCUAAGGAUGGCCACGGAAUACUAUGGAGAAAGAAUCUUAGCCGAAGAAGCAUCGGACUCACUGCCGUACGGAAUCGACGGUUUUCCCGUUCUGCAUGCCAGCGAGGAUUGCAUCAUUCUGUCAAGGCUGCCCCCAGAUGGAAAAAAAACGGAAUGCACGUACUGGGUUCGCAGAAGUGCUGUCGGAAAUCGCAACUGGCGUUGUGACUUCAUAUUCGAUGCCUUUUGCAGGUGGCAGGCGAUUGUAGUAAAUCAGGACAACAUAAAAUAUUGUAAUUAAGCGCACGAAAACUGGUAUCGAAGGAACUUGUGCCUUCUCCAAAUCAUCCUACAAUCUUGCGUGCCAGAGAGCUCAAGCGAUCGCAAUAUGAAAUGCCUUUUUAUUUUACCGCUGUUGAAUUGAUACCAGAAGUAUUUCACCCGAUAAUCUGGAUACGCCUAUUUAUUUCUUCAUUUUAUUUGUUCACAGUAAAGCAAUGGGUGUAACACAACGUGACAGGCGCAAAUACCUAAAGCCAUCUUUGUAGGUUCCAUAUGAGAUUCAGUGGCAGUCAAUAAAUGACAUAUGAACGAGUUUUCUUCGCUCUGCUUUAAAGGCACCCUGCGAAAUCUAUUAUUCAAACCUGAGAAGCAUACUCGAAUAAGUGGAACGGCUUUAGAAGAAUACACCAGCAAGGAAACUUGAUAUAUGCUUAAUAAUACGGGAUGAAGGUAUGUGACUGGGU
This is a long non-coding RNA of Dermacentor silvarum, 768 nucleotides long. RefSeq lists it as uncharacterized. The transcript has 3 exons. Lineage: Eukaryota; Metazoa; Arthropoda; Arachnida; Ixodida; Ixodidae. The record is from RefSeq and is a predicted model, not a curated record.